UACGGAGGGUGCAAGCGUUAAUCGGAAUUACUGGGCGUAAAGCGUGCGCAGGCGGUUUGUUAAGUCUGUUGUGAAAUCCCCGAGCUCAACUUGGGAAUUGCAAUGGAUACUGGCAGGCUCGAGUAUGGUAGAGGAAGGUGGAAUUCCCGGUGUAGCAGUGAAAUGCGUAGAGAUCGGGAGGAACACCAGUGGCGAAGGCGGCUCGCUGGACCGGUUCUGACGCUGAUGCGCGAAAGCGUGGGGAGCAAACGGG
RNAcentral lists this ribosomal RNA (253 nucleotides) under uncultured bacterium. Its description in RNAcentral is "partial 16S ribosomal RNA". It matches the Rfam family "Bacterial small subunit ribosomal RNA", at positions 524 to 776 of the family's 1533-position model. The record is from RNAcentral.